ACGGGGUGCAGCAGGCGCGAAACCUUUGCAAUGUGCGAAAGCACGACAAGGUUAAUCCGAGUGUCUCCUGCUAAAGGAGUCUUUUGUCAGUUGUAGAAUCACUGAUGAAUAAGGGGUGGGCAAGUUCUGGCGUCAGCCGCCGCGGUAAAACCAGCACCUCGAGUGGUCAGGAGGUUUAUUGGGCCUAAAGCAUCCGUAGCCGGUUGCAUAAGUUUUCGGUUAAAUCUAUGCGCUUAACGUAUAGGCCGCCGAAAAUACUGUGCAGCUAGGGAGUGGGAGAGGUACGCGGUACUCAAUAGGAAGGGGUAAAAUCCUUUGAUCUAUUGAUGACCACCUGUGGCGAAGGCGGUGUACCAGAACACGUUCGACGGUGAAGGAUGAAAGCUGGGGGAGCAAACCGGAUUAGAUACCCGGGUAGUCCCAGCUGUAAACGAUGCAGACUCGGUGAUGCAUUGGCUUGUGGCCAAUGCAGUGCCGCAGGGAAGCCGUUAAGUCCGCCGCCUGGGAAGUACGUACGCAAGUAUGAAACUUAAAGGAAUUGGCGGGGGAGCAC
Molecule: ribosomal RNA, 553 nt
Filed under: uncultured Nitrososphaerota archaeon
Lineage: Archaea; Thermoproteati; Nitrososphaerota
Description: bacterial SSU rRNA
Rfam family: Archaeal small subunit ribosomal RNA
Source: RNAcentral